This 574-nucleotide ribosomal RNA is filed under the name Cladosporium cladosporioides. RNAcentral describes it as "eukaryotic LSU rRNA". It matches the Rfam family "Eukaryotic large subunit ribosomal RNA", at positions 1 to 580 of the family's 3401-position model. The record is from RNAcentral. Lineage: Eukaryota; Fungi; Ascomycota; Dothideomycetes; Cladosporiales; Cladosporiaceae.
UUGACCUCGGAUCAGGUAGGGAUACCCGCUGAACUUAAGCAUAUCAAUAAGCGGAGGAAAAGAAACCAACAGGGAUUGCUCUAGUAACGGCGAGUGAAGCAGCAAUAGCUCAAAUUUGAAAUCUGGCGUCUUCGACGUCCGAGUUGUAAUUUGUAGAGGAUGCUUCUGAGUAACCACCGACCUAAGUUCCUUGGAACAGGACGUCAUAGAGGGUGAGAAUCCCGUAUGCGGUCGGAAAGGUGCUCUAUACGUAGCUCCUUCGACGAGUCGAGUUGUUUGGGAAUGCAGCUCUAAAUGGGAGGUAAAUUUCUUCUAAAGCUAAAUAUUGGCCAGAGACCGAUAGCGCACAAGUAGAGUGAUCGAAAGAUGAAAAGCACUUUGGAAAGAGAGUUAAAAAGCACGUGAAAUUGUUAAAAGGGAAGGGAUUGCAACCAGACUUGCUCGCGGUGUUCCGCCGGUCUUCUGACCGGUCUACUCGCCGCGUUGCAGGCCAGCAUCGUCUGGUGCCGCUGGAUAAGACUUGAGGAAUGUAGCUCCCUCGGGAGUGUUAUAGCCUCUUGUGAUGCAGCGAGCG